RNA transcript from Populus euphratica (Euphrates poplar), 1964 nucleotides. It is a transcript of the gene named rho GDP-dissociation inhibitor 1-like, with no coding region annotated. The transcript is spliced from 6 exons. The record is from RefSeq and is a predicted model, not a curated record. Lineage: Eukaryota; Viridiplantae; Streptophyta; Magnoliopsida; Malpighiales; Salicaceae.
GCUGACACUGUGCUCCAUUAAAAUCCGUCGACCUACCAUGUCUCCUUACAGAAUGGUGACUUUCACUUUCUUUCUGAUAUUUCGGAUCACCACAUGACCUUUUCUCAGCUACCUCAAAUCGAAUUCCCAAUCUUUUUUGCCUCUCUCUCUCUCUCUCUCUCUCUCUCUCGAGAAAUCUCAAAUUGUUUUGAGAUUCAACAACAAUCCACCCGAACCGAAAGAAAAAAGGAGGACAAGAAAAGCCAGGAGACAAGACAAACCUAGUUAUUCCUUUUCUUUUUCCGUUUGUCUUUGCUGAGCUUUCGUUUGUGGAUUGUGGGUCUUUUAUUUGUCUCUCGUUAGGUGGAGUCUGCGCAAAAAUAUCUUUUGGCCUUUUCUUGCCUCUUUUUCUUUGACGCGGCAAAAGUCAAGUGAUAAAUUAACUUUGCUCCCAUUUUGGAUUCUGUUCACUCCUUUUUCUUUCUUUCUUCGAUAUAACAAAUUCUUACCAGUAAUCUUUCUAUCGUCGAAUUUAUUUUUUUUUGGGUUCAAAGUUUAUAAAUUUGUAGUUCAUUGUUAUAGAUGUACUGCCGAUCUUAAAGUUCAUGUCUUUGGCUAUUGGAGCUACAUCAAGUUUGAGAAAUAUGGGGUUUGAUGACGACAAGAAGAAGAAGGAAGGAGGAGAGAAAAGUGGAGUUCUGGAAACACGUGACGGGGAUCAUGAUGGUGGAGUGAGGAUAGGAAGGCAGAUGAGUGAGAGUGAGACCUCUAUGUAUGCGACUGAUCACGAAGAGGGGGAUGAUGAGAACGGAACCAACAAACUUCAGCUGGGUCCUCAGUACACCCUCAAAGAACAGCUUGAAAAAGACAAGGAUGAUGAGAGCUUGAGGAAAUGGAAGGAGCAGCUUCUUGGGAGUGUGGAUUUGAACAAAAUUGGAGAAACGCUUGAACCAGAUGUGAAAUUUCUUAACCUGUCGAUCCUUUCUCCUGGUAGACCAGACAUCGUACUUUCUAUUCCUGAGAAUGGGAAGCCCAAAGGCCUGUGGUUUACAUUGAAAGAAGGCAGUCCCUACAGCUUGAAAUUCUCCUUCCAAGUCAGUAAUAACAUUGUGUCUGGCCUCAAGUACACCAAUACUGUCUGGAAAACUGGCGUCAAGGUGGACAGCACAAAAGAAAUGCUUGGAACCUACAGUCCUCAGCCAGAGGCUUACACGCAUGUUAAUCCAGAGGAGACCACACCCUCGGGCAUGUUUGCUAGAGGAUCAUACUCUGCAAGGUCGAAGUUUUUUGAUGAUGAUAACAAGUGCUACUUGGAGAUCAACUACACCUUUGGCAUUCGAAAAGAUUGGGCUGCUACUUGAAUGAUCGAUCAUUCUUCCAACAACCUUUUCACACAUCUGUCUCACUCAGUUAUAAUUCUUAAACUACUACUACUACUAGUUCCAUGUCUUCACUGAUCUUCACGCCAUGUUUAAUUGUUGUCUCUAGUUCCAUUAACCUCUUGUAAUCAUGUCUGCGGCCAGAUAUCUCACAGCAAUAGAGACGAAGAAAGUGCAAAUGUUACAGAAUCAAAACCGACCUCUAGAAGGGCCACCAGACUCGUCAACAACAAAAAAAUGGAGCAUAUGAGCUUGAAAGGGCCACCGUAACUGCUAUACACAGUUGAAAGUAACCUCCCAUCUGACCUCUACCUCCUCCCUGGCUCCAGGUUGAUAUUAGCCUUUCCCAGCUUGUCAAGAAUCCAACUUGGCCCUGGACUUUUCUUUUCUUUUUCCCCAAAACUCUUCUUGCUAGCAAUGAUUAUUCUCACAGGAGAAAGGGAGAGCUUGUUGGGAAUGGCAAGUAACCUUUAAGCUACUCUUUCGAGUGUUAGAUUAAGUUCUUAAUCAAGUUGUUAACUGAGAAAUUGAAUUUAACUGUAUAGAUGGGUGGAAUCAGAUUAUGUAAGGUCGUGAUUAGUCGAUGAACACACGAAGAGACCCUCC